Molecule: ribosomal RNA, 373 nt
Filed under: uncultured bacterium
Lineage: Bacteria
Description: bacterial SSU rRNA
Rfam family: Bacterial small subunit ribosomal RNA
Source: RNAcentral
UAAUACGGAGGGUGCAAGCGUUAUCCGGAUUUACUGGGUUUAAAGGGUGCGUAGGUGGGUCUGUAAGUCAGUGGUGAAAUCUCCGAGCUUAACUCGGAAACUGCCAUUGAUACUAUAGGUCUUGAAUUAUCUGGAGGUAAGCGGAAUAUGUCAUGUAGCGGUGAAAUGCUUAGAUAUGACAUAGAACACCAAUUGCGAAGGCAGCUUACUACGGAUCGAUUGACACUGAGGCACGAAAGCGUGGGGAUCAAACAGGAUUAGAUACCCUGGUAGUCCACGCCCUAAACGAUGGAUACUCGACAUUUGCGAUAUACUGUAAGUGUCUGAGCGAAAGCAUUAAGUAUCCCACCUGGGAAGUACGAUCGCAAGAUUG